RNAcentral lists this ribosomal RNA (269 nucleotides) under Klebsiella quasipneumoniae subsp. similipneumoniae. RNAcentral's name for it is "partial 23S ribosomal RNA". It matches the Rfam family "Bacterial large subunit ribosomal RNA", at positions 1435 to 1706 of the family's 2925-position model. Lineage: Bacteria; Pseudomonadati; Pseudomonadota; Gammaproteobacteria; Enterobacterales; Enterobacteriaceae. The record is from RNAcentral.
AUUCCUGUACUUGGUGUUACUGCGAAGGGGGGACGGAGAAGGCUAUGUUAGCCGGGCGACGGUUGUCCCGGUUUAAGCAUGUAGGCUGGUUAUCCAGGCAAAUCCGGAUAAUCAAGGCUGAGGUGUGAUGACGAAGCACUACGGUGCUGAAGUAACAAAUGCCCUGCUUCCAGGAAAAGCCUCUAAGCAUCAGGUAACAUCAAAUCGUACCCCAAACCGACACAGGUGGUCAGGUAGAGAAUACCAAGGCGCUUGAGAGAACUCGGGUG